GGAGGCGUGGCUGAGUGGUCGAAAGCGGCGGUCUUGAAAACCGUUAGGGUGCAAGCUCUCGUGGGUUCGAAUCCUACCGCCUCCGCCA
This 88-nucleotide transfer RNA is filed under the name Alphaproteobacteria bacterium CG_4_10_14_0_8_um_filter_53_9. RNAcentral describes it as "tRNA-Ser". It matches the Rfam family "tRNA". From Rfam's summary of the family: Transfer RNA (tRNA) molecules are approximately 80 nucleotides in length. Their secondary structure includes four short double-helical elements and three loops (D, anti-codon, and T loops). Lineage: Bacteria; Pseudomonadati; Pseudomonadota; Alphaproteobacteria. The record is from RNAcentral.